AAAUUGAAGAGUUUGAUCAUGGCUCAGAUUGAACGCUGGCGGCAGGCCUAACACAUGCAAGUCGAGCGGUAACACAGAGAGCUUGCUCUCGGGUGACGAGCGGCGGACGGGUGAGUAAUGUCUGGGAAACUGCCUGAUGGAGGGGGAUAACUACUGGAAACGGUAGCUAAUACCGCAUAACGUCGCAAGACCAAAGUGGGGGACCUUCGGGCCUCAUGCCAUCAGAUGUGCCCAGAUGGGAUUAGCUAGUAGGUGGGGUAAUGGCUCACCUAGGCGACGAUCCCUAGCUGGUCUGAGAGGAUGACCAGCCACACUGGAACUGAGACACGGUCCAGACUCCUACGGGAGGCAGCAGUGGGGAAUAUUGCACAAUGGGCGCAAGCCUGAUGCAGCCAUGCCGCGUGUAUGAAGAAGGCCUUCGGGUUGUAAAGUACUUUCAGCGAGGAGGAAGGCGUUAAGGUUAAUAACCUUGGCGAUUGACGUUACUCGCAGAAGAAGCACCGGCUAACUCCGUGCCAGCAGCCGCGGUAAUACGGAGGGUGCAAGCGUUAAUCGGAAUUACUGGGCGUAAAGCGCACGCAGGCGGUCUGUCAAGUCGGAUGUGAAAUCCCCGGGCUCAACCUGGGAACUGCAUUCGAAACUGGCAGGCUAGAGUCUUGUAGAGGGGGGUAGAAUUCCAGGUGUAGCGGUGAAAUGCGUAGAGAUCUGGAGGAAUACCGGUGGCGAAGGCGGCCCCCUGGACAAAGACUGACGCUCAGGUGCGAAAGCGUGGGGAGCAAACAGGAUUAGAUACCCUGGUAGUCCACGCCGUAAACGAUGUCGACUUGGAGGUUGUGCCCUUGAGGCGUGGCUUCCGGAGCUAACGCGUUAAGUCGACCGCCUGGGGAGUACGGCCGCAAGGUUAAAACUCAAAUGAAUUGACGGGGGCCCGCACAAGCGGUGGAGCAUGUGGUUUAAUUCGAUGCAACGCGAAGAACCUUACCUACUCUUGACAUCCAGAGAACUUAGCAGAGAUGCUUUGGUGCCUUCGGGAACUCUGAGACAGGUGCUGCAUGGCUGUCGUCAGCUCGUGUUGUGAAAUGUUGGGUUAAGUCCCGCAACGAGCGCAACCCUUAUCCUUUGUUGCCAGCGGUCCGGCCGGGAACUCAAAGGAGACUGCCAGUGAUAAACUGGAGGAAGGUGGGGAUGACGUCAAGUCAUCAUGGCCCUUACGAGUAGGGCUACACACGUGCUACAAUGGCAUAUACAAAGAGAAGCGACCUCGCGAGAGCAAGCGGACCUCAUAAAGUAUGUCGUAGUCCGGAUUGGAGUCUGCAACUCGACUCCAUGAAGUCGGAAUCGCUAGUAAUCGUAGAUCAGAAUGCUACGGUGAAUACGUUCCCGGGCCUUGUACACACCGCCCGUCACACCAUGGGAGUGGGUUGCAAAAGAAGUAGGUAGCUUAACCUUCGGGAGGGCGCUUACCACUUUGUGAUUCAUGACUGGGGUGAAGUCGUAACAAGGUAACCGUAGGGGAACCUGCGGUUGGAUCACCUCCUUACCUUAAAGAA
Molecule: ribosomal RNA, 1550 nt
Filed under: Klebsiella aerogenes
Lineage: Bacteria; Pseudomonadati; Pseudomonadota; Gammaproteobacteria; Enterobacterales; Enterobacteriaceae
Description: bacterial SSU rRNA
Rfam family: Bacterial small subunit ribosomal RNA
Source: RNAcentral